CCUGCCUGUGCAUGUUGGUACCUGAGUCCUGUUUGUGAGUGGGGGCUGUAUUGGAAAUAUUUAACAACGUGUUCUGCCCAUGGAGACUGCACCGUCAGAGUGGACACUGCUCGUGGGAUCUCAGUUCCCCAACCAGGGAUCAAGCCCGGGCCGUCAGCAGUGAGAGCGUGGAGGCUUAACCACUGGACCACCAGGGAAUUCCCAGGAACAUGAUUUUUUAAGAGUUUAGAGACAAGGGAUGUAGUGUUGAUGUGAUUAAUAUCAUGGGAGAGGUUUGGCUAAGUGCAGAGGAAGCCCAGAAGAGGGACCCUAUUGGGGGUCCUAGAGGCUUCCUGAAACCUGAUCUAAAACUUGAAACUCAAAAAGGCGAGGGGAGUUCUGCAGCCAAAAAGAAAAAAAAAAGAAAAGAAAAAAGGAAAAAAAAAAAAAGUGGGAUG
Globicephala melas (long-finned pilot whale) is the source of this 437-nucleotide long non-coding RNA. RefSeq lists it as uncharacterized. The record is from RefSeq and is a predicted model, not a curated record. NCBI's taxonomy places the organism in Eukaryota, Metazoa, Chordata, Mammalia, Artiodactyla, Delphinidae.